RNAcentral lists this long non-coding RNA (525 nucleotides) under Salmo salar (Atlantic salmon). RNAcentral describes it as "lncRNA (ENSSSAG00000095588.1)". The record is from RNAcentral. Lineage: Eukaryota; Metazoa; Chordata; Actinopteri; Salmoniformes; Salmonidae.
AGACCCUGUUCUACUUCAGUAGCCAGCUAGCUCUGCAGACCCUGUUCUACUUCAGUAGCCAGCUAGCUCUGCAGACCCUGUUCUACUUCAGUAGCCAGCUAGCUCUGCAGACCCUGUUCUACUUCAGUAGCCAGCUAGCUCUGCAGACCCUGUUCUACUUCAGUAGCCAGCUAGCUCUGCAGACCCUGUUCUACUUCAGUAGCCAGCUAGCUCUGCAGACCCUGUUCUACUGCUACUUCAGAAGUGAAAUACAAUGUAUCAAGUGUAUGAGUCUGUCCUCAUUGCACGUCUGUUAUUUGAUGUCGCACCUCAAAUGAUGAGCUGGUGGACUGAGACCAGAUGGGGGGUGUAAUAGGUGGUGACAUGACAGUGUGUUAUCAGAGGACUGAGACCAGAUGGGGGGUGUAAUAGGUGGUGACAUGACAGUGUGUUAUCAGAGGACUGAGACCAGAUGGGGGGUGAAAUAGGUGGUGACAUGACAGUGUGUUAUCAGAGGACUGAGACCAGAUGGGGGGUGUAAUAGGU